UACAGGGGGUGCAAACGUUGCUCGGAAUUAUUGGGCGUAAAGCGCGCGUAGGCGGCCACUUAAGUCGGAUGUGAAAGCCCCUGGCUCAACUGGGGAAGUGCACCCGAAACUGAGCGGCUUGAAUGCAAAAGAGGGUCGCGGAAUUCCCGGUGUAGAGGUGAAAUUCGUAGAUAUCGGGAGGAACACCGGUGGCGAAGGCGGCGACCUGGGUUGACAUUGGCGCUGAGGCGCGAAAGCGUGGGGAGCAAACAGG
Molecule: ribosomal RNA, 253 nt
Filed under: uncultured bacterium
Lineage: Bacteria
Description: partial 16S ribosomal RNA
Rfam family: Bacterial small subunit ribosomal RNA
Source: RNAcentral